GGGGGCGUCAGGUUUCGACAGGAUUGUGGAACAAGGAUAAGCGAGCUGUGGAGCCGAGCCACGUAAAAAGCGGCGGUUAAAUUCAAACGCUAAAAAGAAUAACAAUUUCGCACUAGCUGCUUAGUUCAGCAACGCGCGUCAACCGGUAUUCACCUGCAGGUAACGGAGCUGGCGUCGAUUAUGCAGGAAAACCUUGCGUGAGCUCCCGGUAGCGCAAGGGAAUUGCGGGAUAGCGAUUGUGUAGUCUGCUGACAUGACGAUACAUGAGCGAAUUAUAAAGUAUCAGCUGCGCUCGGAGAAGGUCUUUCGGAAAUGCUCCUGGACGUGGGUUCAAAUCCCACCGCCUCCACCA
Molecule: non-coding RNA, 352 nt
Organism: Mogibacterium sp. CM50
Lineage: Bacteria; Bacillati; Bacillota; Clostridia; Peptostreptococcales; Anaerovoracaceae
Rfam family: transfer-messenger RNA
About the family: Bacterial tmRNA, also known as 10Sa RNA or SsrA, is named for its dual tRNA and mRNA-like properties. Its role is to liberate the mRNA from a stalled ribosome. To accomplish this part of the tmRNA is used as a reading frame that ends in a translation stop signal.
Source: Rfam